RNAcentral lists this small RNA (2572 nucleotides) under Pongo abelii (Sumatran orangutan). RNAcentral's name for it is "retained intron". Lineage: Eukaryota; Metazoa; Chordata; Mammalia; Primates; Hominidae. The record is from RNAcentral.
GAGCAGGUCUCCAGGGGAGCGAUGGCAGCCGGUGGUCUGAGUCGCUCCGAGCGCAAAGCGGCUGAGCGGGUCCGGAGGUUGCGGGAGGAGCAGCAGAGGGAGCGCCUCCGCCAGGUACGCCGCCGCCGCUCCCCGGCCCGGCCAUGCCCGGCCCGCGCCGCCGCUCACCGCCUGCCUGCCCGCAGGUGUCGCGCAUCCUGAGGAAGGCGGCGGCGGAGCGCAGCGCCGAGGAGGGCCGGCUGCUGGCCGAGAGCGCGGACCUGGUAACGGAGCUGCAGGGCCGGAGCCGGCGGCGCGAGGGCUUGAAGCGGCGGCAGGAGGAGGUGUGCGACGACCCGGAGGAGCUGCGGGGGAAGGUCCGGGAGCUGGCCAGCGCCGUCCGGAACGCCAAAUACCUGGUCGUCUACACAGGCGCGGGAAUCAGCACGGCAGCGUCUAUCCCAGACUACCGGGGCCCUAAUGGAGUGUGGACACUGCUUCAGAAAGGGAGAAGCGUUAGUGCUGCGGACCUGAGUGAGGCCGAGCCAACCCUCACCCACAUGAGCAUCACCCGUUUGCAUGAGCAGAAACUGGUAAGAGCCCUGGGUGGCUGGUACACUUGCCAGGGACCAGGCAGAGCACCUUGGUGCCUAGUGGGCAGCUGCAUCCUCCCUCUGUCUGCCAGUUGACUCCCAUGAUGAGCACCCACCAAGUGGGUUAGGCCCCGGGUUUGAUCCUCCCAUGCUUGACUCUCCAGGACAGAAGGGGAGCACCCCCUCUGAACCAUCCCAUCCACAGCCAGCCUCAGCCUCAGAGCUGCUGGUGGCCUUUCCCCUUUGUGAUUCCCUUGCAUUUUUCUGUGGACCUCAGAAGCCAUCCUAGUCACAGGGGAGGCUUAUGGGACAUCUCUGGGGACCUUCUGCUGAACACCCUCAACCAACGGGGCAUAGGGGUUGAUCUGCCUAGGUCCCCAGGAACCUGAAAUGUCAUGACCCAAGAGAGCAUGGAUCUGGGGCAGAGUGGCCCUUGCCAAAACCCCGAGCCACUUCCCAACCUUGCCAGGACGGUGCAACCUCUUGCCCUCCCAGCUACUCCAGGUGCAUCAGGGCUGGAGGAAGGACACAGCCCCUCCCCACCAUAGGCCCUCUUGACUCCUGGUGGUUGGACCUGUUGUGUGUUUUACUUUCUAAGACUCUCUGGGGGGUCGGAGCUGCCCCUGGUCUUGGGAGCCAUCGGCUGGGCUCAGAACAGCCUCGCUGUGGCCGGGUACUGACCUCCCUACCACCACUGACGGCUAUCCCUCCCCUCCCCACCCGUUCUGCCUUCCAGGUGCAGCAUGUGGUGUCUCAGAACUGUGACGGGCUCCACCUGAGGAGUGGGCUGCCGCGCACGGCCAUCUCCGAGCUCCACGGGAACAUGUACAUUGAAGUGAGCAGUCCUGCAGGGACCCGGGGUCUCCACGGGCAGGCGGGUCCCACUCACUGUGCCCUCUUGCCUCUAGGUCUGUACCUCCUGCGUUCCCAACAGGGAGUACGUGCGGGUGUUUGAUGUGACAGAGCGCACCGCCCUCCACAGACACCAGACAGGCCGGACCUGCCACAAGUGUGGGACCCAGCUGCGGGACACCAUUGUGCACUUUGGGGAGAGGGGGACGUUGGGGCAGCCUCUGAACUGGGAAGCGGCGACCGAGGCUGCCAGCAGAGCAGACACCAUCCUGUGUCUAGGGUCCAGCCUGAAGGUUCUAAAGAAGUACCCACACCUCUGGUGCAUGACCAAGCCCCCUAGCCGGCGGCCGAAGCUCUACAUCGUGAACCUGCAGUGGACCCCGAAGGAUGACUGGGCUGCCCUGAAGCUACAUGGGAAGUGUGAUGACGUCAUGCGGCUCCUCAUGGCCGAGCUGGGCUUGGAGAUCCCUGCCUAUAGCAGGUGUCAGGAUCCCAUUUUCUCACUGGCGACUCCCCUGCGUGCUGGUGAAGAAGGCAGUCACAGUCGGAAGUCGCUGUGCAGAAGCAGAGAGGAGGCCCCGCCUGGGGACCGGGGUGCACCGCUUAGCUCGGCCCCCAUCCUAGGGGGCUGGUUUGGUAGGGGCUGCACAAAACGCACAAAAAGGAAGAAAGUGACGUAACCUGGUGCUCGAUGAAGAACAGUUGGCACUUUGCAGAUGGCCAGUGUCACGGUGAAGGCUGGGUUGCCCCCACGGGUCUAGGGAGAACUCUUUGGGGAUGAUGUUUUCACCGUAACAUUUUUAGCCAUUUGUCCUUGAGGAAGCCCCUUGCACUGCUGCGGUUGUCUACGGCUUGGCCAUCGAGGACACCUGCCCAUCCGGCCCCUAUGUCAAGAGGUGGCAGCCGCACCUUUCUGUGAGAACGGAACUCGGGUUAUUUCAGCCCCGGCCUGCAGAGUGGAAGCGCCCAGCGGCCUUUCCUCACUCACCAGGCCAGUCUCAGGGCCUCACCGUAUUUCUACUACUUCUUAACGAAAAAAGUGUGAACUUUAUAGAAUCCUCUCUGUACUGGAUGUGCGGCAGAGGGGUGGCUCCGAGCCUCGGCUCUAUGCAGACCUUUUUAUUUCUAUUAAACGUUUCUGCACUGGC